RNAcentral lists this non-coding RNA (788 nucleotides) under Trypanosoma cruzi strain CL Brener. RNAcentral describes it as "Eukaryotic large subunit ribosomal RNA". It matches the Rfam family "Eukaryotic large subunit ribosomal RNA", at positions 1035 to 1593 of the family's 3401-position model. The record is from Rfam by way of RNAcentral. Lineage: Eukaryota; Euglenozoa; Kinetoplastea; Trypanosomatida; Trypanosomatidae.
CUUGUGACGUCAGUUGGUUGUUGCCCUUCAUCCGUUGAGUUAGUGGUAUUAUAGAUUGUCUUAUUUCCUGUUGCGUUUCCUCACUUAUUCCGGAAGUUUUGAGUGAUGACUCUAGUGCUGCGUAGAAUGCUAGUUUUGGGGCAUCGCUUGUUCUCAAACUUUAAAUGGGUGAGAAGCUUAACUCGCUUGAUUGGAGUUUUGCAUUGAAUGUGAGUGCCAAGUGGGCCAUUUUUGGUAAGCAGAACUGGCGCUGUGGGAUGAACCAAACGUUCGGUUAAGGUGCCUAACACGACGCUCAUGAGAUACCACAAAAGGUGUUGGUUGGUCUAGACAGCAGGACGGUGGCCAUGGAAGUCGGAAGCCGCUAAGGAGUGUGUAACAACUCACCUGCCGAAUCAACCAGCCCUGAAAAUGGAUGGCGCUCGAGCGUUGGACCUAUACCGGACCGUUGCUGUAAGCUAGGCCUAUGCUGUGUGAGGGCAAGCUGCACUUGGUCUAGGCAUGGAGUGACGGCAACGAGUAGGAGGGUCGCUGUGGCUAGCGGGAAGCCUCAGGCGUGAGCCUAGGUGAAGCAACCACAGGCGCAGAUCUUGGUGGUAGUAGCAAAUAUUCAAGUGAGAACCUUGAAGGGCGAGGUGGAGAAGGGUUCCAUGGGAACAGCAGUUGACCAUGGGUCAGGCGGUCCUAAGUGAUCCGGUAAAUCGAACAGAGACGGGGUGCCUGACAUUGUCCCCGUCGCGGCUUUGUUCAGUAAUCUGCAAAGUACUGUUGCAUUGCAGCCCCCUGUA